This 290-nucleotide ribosomal RNA is filed under the name uncultured bacterium. RNAcentral's name for it is "partial 16S ribosomal RNA". It matches the Rfam family "Bacterial small subunit ribosomal RNA", at positions 30 to 329 of the family's 1533-position model. The record is from RNAcentral.
CCUGAACGCUGGCGGCGUGGCUAAGACAUGCAAGUCGCACGGGGUAGCAAUACCCAGUGGCGAACGGGUGAGUAAUGAAUCGCUAAUGUACCCUGGACUCUGGGAUAGCCGGUCGAAAGGCCGGGUAAUACCAGAUGAGACCACGAACAGGCAUCUGUUUGUGCUCAAAGGUCCGCCGGUCUGGGAGCAGGCGAUUUCGUAUCAGCUAGUUGGUGAGGUAACGGCUCACCAAGGCGACGACGCGUAGCCGGACUGAGAGGUUGGCCGGCCACAUCGGGACUGAGACACUG